Long non-coding RNA from Ochotona princeps (American pika), 251 nucleotides. RefSeq lists it as uncharacterized. The record is from RefSeq and is a predicted model, not a curated record. NCBI's taxonomy places the organism in Eukaryota, Metazoa, Chordata, Mammalia, Lagomorpha, Ochotonidae. The transcript has 3 exons.
AGACUGGAAACCCCUGCAAGUCAAUUCAAAUGCAAGUACUCAUUUGACCUCAGAUUGCAGCUUCAGAUGAAGGCUGUGUGCUAAACAAGUCCUUGUGUGAUUGAGUUUCCUGCUUUCAAUGUGUCCAUGAGCGUUUGAAGAUGAAAAUCUAAUUCCAAGAGAGGCAUAUCAUAAAACGGAAGGAUAAAAUGAAGAGAUGAAAGAGAAAGCAGGAAGGGCGAAAGGAACAACAAAAAAAAACCAGACAAAUG